RNAcentral lists this ribosomal RNA (118 nucleotides) under Oryzias javanicus (javanese ricefish). The record is from RNAcentral. Lineage: Eukaryota; Metazoa; Chordata; Actinopteri; Beloniformes; Adrianichthyidae.
GCUUACGGCCACACCACCCUGAACACCGCCGAUCUCGUCCGAUCUCGGAACGCUAAGCAGGGUCGGGCCUGGUUAGUACUGGAUGGAGACCGCCUGGGAAUACCAGGUGCUGUAAGUU